CCUACGGGAGGCAGCAGUGAGGAAUAUUGGUCAAUGGACGAGAGUCUGAACCAGCCAAGUAGCGUGAAGGAUGACUGCCCUAUGGGUUGUAAACUUCUUUUAUAUGGGAAUAAAACGUUCCACGUGUGGGAUUUUGUAUGUACCAUAUGAAUAAGGAUCGGCUAACUCCGUGCCAGCAGCCGCGGUAAUACGGAGGAUCCGAGCGUUAUCCGGAUUUAUUGGGUUUAAAGGGAGCGUAGGUGGAUUGUUAAGUCAGUUGUGAAAGUUUGCGGCUCAACCGUAAAAUUGCAGUUGAAACUGGCAGUCUUGAGUACAGUAGAGGUGGGCGGAAUUCGUGGUGUAGCGGUGAAAUGCUUAGAUAUCACGAAGAACUCCGAUUGCGAAGGCAGUUCACUGGACUGCAACUGACAUUGAUGCUCGAAAGUGUGGGUAUCAAACAGGAUUAGAUACCCCGGUAGUC
This 460-nucleotide ribosomal RNA is filed under the name uncultured bacterium. RNAcentral describes it as "partial 16S ribosomal RNA". It matches the Rfam family "Bacterial small subunit ribosomal RNA", at positions 338 to 795 of the family's 1533-position model. The record is from RNAcentral.